This 88-nucleotide transfer RNA is filed under the name Actinomycetes bacterium. RNAcentral describes it as "tRNA-Leu". It matches the Rfam family "tRNA". Rfam says of the family: Transfer RNA (tRNA) molecules are approximately 80 nucleotides in length. Their secondary structure includes four short double-helical elements and three loops (D, anti-codon, and T loops). Further hydrogen bonds mediate the characteristic L-shaped molecular structure. tRNAs have two regions of fundamental functional importance: the anti-codon, which is responsible for specific mRNA codon recognition, and the 3' end, to which the tRNAs corresponding amino acid is attached (by aminoacyl-tRNA synthetases). tRNAs cope with the degeneracy of the genetic code in two manners: having more than one tRNA (with a specific anti-codon) for a particular amino acid; and 'wobble' base-pairing, i.e. permitting non-standard base-pairing at the 3rd anti-codon position. Lineage: Bacteria; Bacillati; Actinomycetota; Actinomycetes. The record is from RNAcentral.
GUCGGAGUGGUGGAAAUGGCAGACACGCAAGCUUGAGGUGCUUGUGCCCGGUUAGGGCAUGCGGGUUCAAGUCCCGCCUCCGACACCA